AUACUUACCUGGCAAGGGAGAUCCCGUGAUCAAGAAGGCGGUUCACCCAGGGCGAGGCUCAGCCAUUGCACUCCGGCUGUGCUGACCCCUGCGAAUUUCCCAAAUGUGGAAAUCUCGAUUGCAUAAUUUAUGGUAGUGGGGGACUGCGUUCGCGCUCUCCCCUG
RNAcentral lists this small nuclear RNA (164 nucleotides) under Salmo salar (Atlantic salmon). Its description in RNAcentral is "U1 spliceosomal RNA". It matches the Rfam family "U1 spliceosomal RNA". Rfam says of the family: U1 is a small nuclear RNA (snRNA) component of the spliceosome (involved in pre-mRNA splicing). Its 5' end forms complementary base pairs with the 5' splice junction, thus defining the 5' donor site of an intron. The record is from Rfam by way of RNAcentral. Lineage: Eukaryota; Metazoa; Chordata; Actinopteri; Salmoniformes; Salmonidae.